GCCCACGUAGCUCAGGCGGUGGAGCACUUCCUUGGUAAGGAAGAGGUCACCGGUUCAAAUCCGGUCGUGGGCUCCA
This 76-nucleotide transfer RNA is filed under the name bacterium. RNAcentral's name for it is "tRNA-Thr". It matches the Rfam family "tRNA". From Rfam's summary of the family: Transfer RNA (tRNA) molecules are approximately 80 nucleotides in length. Their secondary structure includes four short double-helical elements and three loops (D, anti-codon, and T loops). RNAcentral also lists the same sequence under 1 other name. The record is from RNAcentral.